RNAcentral lists this ribosomal RNA (460 nucleotides) under uncultured bacterium. RNAcentral's name for it is "partial 16S ribosomal RNA". It matches the Rfam family "Bacterial small subunit ribosomal RNA", at positions 338 to 795 of the family's 1533-position model. The record is from RNAcentral.
CCUACGCGAGGCAGCAGUGAGGAAUAUUGGUCAAUGGGCGCGAGCCUGAACCAGCCAAGUAGCGUGAAGGAUGACUGCCCUACGGGUUGUAAACUUCUUUUAUAAAGGAAUAAAGUGAGGCACGGGUGCAGUUUUGUAUGUACUUUAUGAAUAAGGAUCGGCUAACUCAGUGCCAGCAGCCGCGGUAAUACGGAGGAUCCGAGCGUUAUCCGGAUUUAUUGGGUUUAAAGGGAGCGUAGUUGGGUUGUUAAGUCAGUUGUGAAAGUUUGCGGCUCAACCGUAAAAUUGCAAUUGAUACUGGCAGCCUUGAGUACAGUUGAGGUAGGCGGAAUUCGUGGUGUAGCGGUGAAAUGCUUAGAUAUCACGAAGAACUCCGAUUGCGAAGGCAGCCUACUAAACUGCCACUGACAUUGAUGCUCGAAAGUGUGGGUAUCAAACAGGAUUAGAUACCCUUGUAGUC